ACAGUUUGCAUGUUUGGAAGGAGAGAGGGAAGUGCGUGCUGAGGCGGCAGUGUGAAGGUCUGUGAACUGCAGGAGGGGCAUUCGAGGUUCAGAGAAUGUGAAUCCCACAGUGUGACAUGAAGGAAACACCGAUUUGCACAGUGUUGUGGAUCUUCCUAAGAAGCCGCAUGAUUAAGAUCAGAGUCAAGAACACAACUGUGCAGAUCUCAACCACUGGGACCAUUGCUGUGCACUGAGAUAACCAAAAAAGCUGCUGGGCUGCUGAUAAAUCCUCUGAAGUCUAAAACCUUGGGUUGCCUGAGGUUAAGGAAGCCCUGACAGUCUGCACCAGCUGAAGAUCAGUCCCUGGGUGUCUGAACCCUACAGGGAGUGUUUUUAUUCCAGUGAGCAAGAUGUUUGAGGGAACUGCAGGGACUGUGAUCUGAGAAUACUGAGGGGAAGCAACAGCCAAGACCCAAAUAAUAGUUCCUUUGGUAGCAGCUAACACAUUUCCUGACUGCAGUGUUGUCCAUGUAACUUGAAAAGAAUUCUGAAUGAGUCUGUGGCAGAAUAAACUAGUUAAUGAGAUCA
RNAcentral lists this long non-coding RNA (570 nucleotides) under Junco hyemalis (dark-eyed junco). Its description in RNAcentral is "lncRNA (ENSJHYG00000011791.1)". The record is from RNAcentral. Lineage: Eukaryota; Metazoa; Chordata; Aves; Passeriformes; Passerellidae.